UGGACAAAGUGGUCAAAAUAGUCAACUAAACCUUCCCUCGAGAAAGUUAUGUAGCCAAUGAGUGCACUUUAUUUUGUAUGAGCUUCCCUCUCCUUCUUUAACAAUUUUUACUUGUACCUCUUGCUUUCUUCAUCAUUGCACUUUUCCAGAUGUCCUCCACCACCACCACUAUGAGUCCACCAUACCAAAUAACAGAAUCCUUAGGACCCUUCUUCCCCAAAACACGAGAGAAACAAACUCAGAAAGAGAGCAUUGGAGAUCUGGAGGCUUUCUUUGAUGCUACUGCAACAACACAAGUUGUUUUUCCAUCCUUUGUGGGGAAGAAAGGUAUCUCUGGCACAUGGAAGAAAUGGAGAGAGCUGAAGAAGCUGCAAUGAUGCGAGUCACGUAGGGGCUGGGUAUGGCAAUAGAGUUGAUCCUGUACUGUAUUCAGAACUGGCUGGAGACUCCUCAUAUAAACCAGGUUGCCUACAGCAUUUUAACCAUAAAUUAGACACUGUAUGAUGAGUAAUCAUGCUUAAUCCCAAAUAUUAAAACCCCUGUUUCUAUUACCUCCAAGAUGGUCGACUUCCAUCAUUACUACUCCUUAGAUCCUCUAUCAGGUCUUUAAAAUCAUCAAGUUUAAAAUCAAUGUCACAGAUUUUUUGUCCAUGUACAUUUUCUUUGCUCCGAUUCAGGAAAUCUUGGAGAACCUGAAUGUCAUGUUUUAUAAACAUAUGAGGACAGAAGCAAAAUCUGUGUGCAUAAUAAGAGUCAAGGAGGAAUAAACUUGGGGUACUGUUGUACUGAGCCUGUGAGAUCAACGUAAUCAGUUCAACUUUCCACGUUACAGCAUAUACGUGGUGAAACAUGGAAGUUGAUUGAUCUUGGGUAAAAACCAGUUUGACAUUAUAAUUAUGCUUAUCUCUAUAGCGCUGAAGGUCAUAUUGAUAAACUGCACCUACACAAGUGGUCAAGUGCAUCAGAUAUUUAGAUGUUGACAACAAAAGCUCACCUUCCAAGCAUUUUCCAGACUCUGGUCUGUAUUUUCUUCACUAACUUUCAGUGCAAGUGAGCUGAGAAGCUCUGCUUGUUGCAUUAGAGCAGUUAUCUUUGGAUCAUCCUUUUUGAAAAAUGUUCUCUGAAUCAUACUGUUUUGAACUGCCAAAUGAAUAGCAAGGAAAGAGAUUAUUGAACAUUAAAGAUUUAUCACAGAGAAUGAUCAGCAAUCAUCACCAACUAAAUUGAUAGAGAUGAUAGAUUAUGCAUGUUAUUGAUUGUCUGUCAUAAAGCCCCAGUAGCGUUCCUCAGUUUUUGUAAAGCUGGAAAAAAAACUAAUGAUUUGAAAGCUGAAUUGUGGUAGUUUGAAUGGGGCUUGAGCUAGACCUUACAUGGCCAAUGGGGUAUAAGAAUGUGGAAGUGGAAGUUGAUUCAGAGGUAGUAUUCAAUGUAUUAAACUAAAAAGGUAGCAGUUUGGCGACUGAUCCUCUUGUUCAGGAAUUUUUUCGACUUCAGCAAAGGGAUUGGAGCAUCAGGAUUAGUCAUGCAUAUAAAGAAGGAAAUCGGUAGGUGGAUUGGCAUGCUAAUGGAGGCUUAGAUAUUGAUAUUGGGAUUCGAUUUUUGUCUCAAUCCCUGGGUCUUCUUUCCUUGCUUCAGUAGGAUGAAGCAGGGUAUCUCUACCCUGUUUAUGCAGGGUGUAAGUCUCUCGGGGCCGGAUUUAGCCAAAAAAAAACAAAGAAAUAAAAAAUAACCGCGUCCUAAAUGGAAAGUCUUUGUUUUAGGUGUUUUACCAUCAAUGGAGACCUCCUUGACACCACUGACAUGAUGUUGGGAAGCCACGUUAACAUUGUGAAGGUUUUGGGCCAACACUGCAAAUGGGGGUCUAGGUUGCUGAUUUCCACAUUGUGGGUGUGAUCUGUCUCCAAAGUUGCAAUUUCCUGCAAGACCAUGGAUGUGGGACUUCCUGCAUUUGAACAAACAUGAGGUUUACUAUGCUAAUUACUUUUCCAGAUACUAUCGUCUACUGAUACCAAAACUGCACUGUACCUUAUCUUCUUAAUUGGAGGAUCACUUUCUGGUGCUCCGUCUCCAUUUAACCCAUGCUGUAACAUGAUUCUUUUGUUAUUUAAGUUGAUAUGUGUGCUUUUGUUCUCUUU
This is a long non-coding RNA of Populus nigra (black poplar), 2135 nucleotides long. RefSeq lists it as uncharacterized. The transcript is spliced from 3 exons. The record is from RefSeq and is a predicted model, not a curated record. NCBI's taxonomy places the organism in Eukaryota, Viridiplantae, Streptophyta, Magnoliopsida, Malpighiales, Salicaceae.